This 274-nucleotide ribosomal RNA is filed under the name uncultured Pseudomonas sp. Its description in RNAcentral is "partial 16S ribosomal RNA". It matches the Rfam family "Bacterial small subunit ribosomal RNA", at positions 1111 to 1382 of the family's 1533-position model. The record is from RNAcentral. Lineage: Bacteria; Pseudomonadati; Pseudomonadota; Gammaproteobacteria; Pseudomonadales; Pseudomonadaceae.
UUAGUUUACCAGCACGUUAUGUGGGCACUCUAAGGAGGACUGCCGGUGGACAAACCGGAGGAAGGUGGGGAUGACGUCAAGUCAUCAUGGCCCUUACGGCCUGGGCUACACACGUGCUACAAUGGUCGGUACAAAGGGUUGCCAAGCCGCGAGGUGGAGCUAAUCCCAUAAAACCGAUCGUAGUCCGGAUCGCAGUCUGCAACUCGACUGCGUGAAGUCGGAAUCGCUAGUAAUCGUGAAUCAGAAUGUCACGGUGAAUACGUUCCCGGGCCUU